UAACCCAAUAGGACAGUCAAAAACUCACCUCCCUCGUGCAUAAAUAUUAUUUCUGAGAGACCCAGACUAAUUGAUUUAUUAUUCGUCUUAAUAUAUAAACCACUGAAAAAAGGCUUUGCAGCAGUUAACAAUAAUGACCAGCUUCUUUUGGGUCUUUCUGCUAGCAGUUCUCCUAAUCGCCAGUCCUGCGGUAGGGCAGCGGAAUAGACAAAGUCUUACUGCAAGAUGCGGAUCGGGAUGGUGUCUGCCUGUAACUUACCGUUGUCAUCGUAUAACGAAUAAAUGUUGGGACCCAAGGACCAAAUGUUGCUUAUGGAGCAAAAGAGAACGGAAUACACUUUCGUAACCACUCCUUAUUCUAAUUUUAUUUACUGCGUUUUGUCGGCUUUAAAACUCCUCCUGAGGCGAAAAAAAUAAAAAAGGUUGUCUUAAAAAAAGCAUAAAUAGAAAUAGUUUCCUAAAUCCUAUACUUUUUCCCAAAUCCUGUAUUAAUUUUCAAUAUAAAGUAGUUUUUUUUUCCAUUUCAACAAAUGCCAAAUUCCAUAUCCUUUACAAACCACAAUAGUUCAGUCCCAGACUAAUCAAUUUAGCUUAGCUCUUAAUAUAUAAACCUCACACAAAAGUCUAAAGCAAGUAGUUACAUUUAUGAUCAGCUAUGAUCUUGGAUUCUCCUGCUGGCAGCUCUCUUGGCUGCGAUCUUUAAUCCAGCUUAUAUCGAUGGCAUGAUAAGAACUCUUGGGCGUGACCCAAGAUGCGGAGAUGCUGGAUGGUGUGUUACUAGGGAAAACCAGUGCAAUAAUACGUUUGACGUUUGAUUACUGUUCAAACCGAAAUGAAAAUGUUGCCUAUUCCCUGGAUGGACUCAUUAUGAGGAGAAAUAACGUUUAGGGCAAGAAUAUCUAUAACUAGGAGAAAUGCAUAUGUAAAUAUUUUUGCGUACUGUUAAAAUCGAAAUAAAAAAAGGUUUUAUAUGUA
Molecule: non-coding RNA, 975 nt
Organism: Drosophila takahashii
Lineage: Eukaryota; Metazoa; Arthropoda; Insecta; Diptera; Drosophilidae
Source: RefSeq, a predicted model, not a curated record